This 70-nucleotide transfer RNA is filed under the name Paraona staudingeri. Its description in RNAcentral is "tRNA-Leu". Lineage: Eukaryota; Metazoa; Arthropoda; Insecta; Lepidoptera; Erebidae. The record is from RNAcentral.
ACUAUUUUGGCAGAAAAGUGUAAUGAUUUUAGAAGUCAUGAAUGUAUGAUUUUAAUUUAUAUAAAUAGUA